GUCUACGGCCAUGCCACCCUGAACGCGCCCGAUCUCGUCUGAUCUCGGAAGCUAAGCAGGGUCGGUCCUGGUUAGUACUUGGAUGGGAGACGAAAGAAAGAAGAAAGAAGGAAAGAAA
Non-coding RNA from Pongo abelii (Sumatran orangutan), 118 nucleotides. NCBI's taxonomy places the organism in Eukaryota, Metazoa, Chordata, Mammalia, Primates, Hominidae. The record is from Rfam.